This 2835-nucleotide unclassified non-coding RNA is filed under the name Leishmania donovani. RNAcentral describes it as "gene:LdHU3.36.6190(CDS-product:19S_proteasome_reg ulatory_subunit)". The record is from RNAcentral. Lineage: Eukaryota; Euglenozoa; Kinetoplastea; Trypanosomatida; Trypanosomatidae.
CAUGCUCAUCUACUCACACAUGCAAGAAUAAGGAGAACGCUGUAUUAUCUUUUCCCCCCUCUCAUCGAGUUUGCGCUUUUCUCUCUCCCGCUCACCGUCGUUGUUCACAUCACCACAUCCUUUGCCGCUGUGUGCGCAUCUCUGUGUGACUGCGCGCAGCUUUCGAGGAACGUCAUCCGCAGCACACAGACCGGCUUUGUUUUCUCUUCCACGGCGCUCUUCUCAUCUAUCAAAACGCGCACGCGCAUUCAUACAAAGUUGCGUCUUGUUAGGCAUUCCGCUGUCGCACCUGUGAACCGACAAGUAGCCGUGCGCGCCGUCGAUUCGCCGGCUUGUCGCUCGCCAGAUAUCAGCACUCAGCAGCUACUUAGUGUUUUUCUUUUGGAGGAUUUUCUGGUAGACCGGCAUCAUUUUUGCUCCAUCUUGGCUGUGCUCUCGUUUCCUUGCCGCCAACACUCCCCCGCAAACAUCCAGCCAUGCUCGCUGACGUUGCCGCGCCGUCGUCGUCGUCAACGGCGCCGGGGAGCAACACCGCCGUCUCUGACUACUUUCUUCAAAAGAUCCACGAGCUGCGCGCGACGCAGAAGCGAACCCUCGACAAUUUCGAGCGCCUCGAAGCCCAGCGCAAUGACCUUAACCGCCGUGUCCGCCACCUCAAGGAGGAGGUGCAGAUGCUGCAGGAAUCCGGCUCCCUGGUCGUGGACGUUGUCAGAGUAAUGGGCAAGAACAAGGUGCUGGUGAAGGCCGGUUCUGGGCAGGGAAAGAUGGUCGUGGAUGUGGACAAGUCGGUGGACUUCAAGGACUUGACCCCCAACGCCCGCGUUGCCCUGCGCAGCGGCACCUCGGCAAUCCACUACAUUCUGCCCACGAAGGUCGACCCGCUCGUGUCUCUCAUGAAGGUCGAGAAGGCUGGCAAAGAGUCGACCUAUGACGAGAUCGGCGGUCUGUCGCGCCAGGUGAAGGAGAUCAAGGAAGUGAUCGAGCUCCCCGUGAAGCACCCAAAGCUGUUCGAGGCUCUUGGCAUUGAGCAGCCGAAGGGUGUGCUUCUGUAUGGCCCGCCUGGCACCGGUAAGACGCUGCUUGCGCGCGCGGUGGCACACCACACCGACUGCACCUUUAUCCGUGUCAGUGGCGCGGAGCUGGUGCAGAAGUACAUCGGCGAGGGUGCCCGCAUGGUGCGUGAGUUGUUCGUUAUGGCGCGUGAGCACAGCCCCUCAAUCAUUUUCAUGGAUGAAAUCGACUCCAUCGGCUCCUCGCGCUUGGAGUCGGGCGAGAACGGUGACAGCGAGGUGCAGCGUACCAUGCUUGAGCUCCUGAACCAGUUGGAUGGCUUUGAGGCCUCCAAAAACAUCAAGGUGAUUAUGGCGACCAACCGCAUGGACAUCCUUGACGAGGCGCUGCUGCGCCCUGGUCGCAUCGACCGUAAGAUUGAGUUUCCCGCCCCGGACGAAGCAGCCCGCUUUGAGAUUCUCAAGAUCCACUCGCGCAAGAUGAAUCUGACACGCGGCAUUGACCUCAAGGACAUUGCCAAGAAAACGUCCAACUGCUCUGGCGCCGAGCUGAAGGCGGUGUGCACCGAGGCAGGCAUGUUUGCUCUACGCGAGCGCCGCGUGCACAUCACGCACGAGGACUUUGUGCUCGCUGUUGCCAAGGUGAUGCACAAGGACCAGGACAAGAACGUGUCGUUGAAGAAGAUGUGGAAGUAGAAAAAGGUAGAUGACCGAAGAAGGCGACAGGAAACCUGUGACCAUCUGCUCAUGCUGCCAUGCACACUGCGAGCGUGUCUGUGUGCGUCUCUUGUACGCCUUCGUCCCGUGAUAGUGCGUGUCACGCAGGCCGGCUGUCUGCCGGGCAUACUGCGUUGACGACUCUGCCUCGGCAUCCGCCUUCCUUUUCGUCGUGCUCUCGUCAUCCCUCUUGUUUUCAGACGACGUCGAGGUGUCGGCGAAGACUCCCUUGCGUGAACACACGUGCGCGCGUGCAAAAGGAUGCGUUUGUGCGUGUGCGUGCGUCUGUGCACCCCGCGCGCUGCCGCUAAGGUUUUGCGUGGAUGGUGCGAAGAGAUGUACGCCGCUGCUUCUGCCCUCUGUUGCCUCCUUUCGGGUGUGUUGAGGGCAAUCGUCUCCUCACAACGUCUUUCCUUUUUUUUUUGUUUCGCGCUUGUAUGUGUACGUGCCCGCUUGGGUUUGUUCAUGUUUCUGUGUGUUGGUGCCCGUGUGUGCUUGUCUCUCGGCGUUUGCUAGCUGGUGACUUUCAGCGUCCCAAGCAGCUGAAAGGCGAAAGGCGAGCGGGAGAGAGAGAGCGGCAAUGGUGGCCGUGACGGCUAUCGCUCGUGCGUGUGUGCAUAGACUGUUUUGUGUUGGGGAUGAGGCAGUGGAGCGGGACAGGUGGCAGCCAUCACCGAAGAGAAUACAUGGAAAUGAGUGACGAAAGUGGAGCUCACCACUGUGAAUUGUCUCUCUCUCUCUAUGCAUACUUCCGAGUGGCCACGCUGCGUCUAGCGGUUGUCGCGGCGCUGGUUUGUGACGUACUGGUGGGUGCGUGCCGCUGCCUUCCGCUUGCGUGCCCUCUGCCGCUGCUCGACUCUGUACUACCUCCCUUGCACGAUGCCCUCUGGCCGGCCUCUUCGUCUUCCAGUCCUGUGUGAACUGCGGCGGUGCUGGCUUCGUCUUUUCUGAAUUUGUGGGAAGGAUGCAAAUCGAACAAACCAAAGACAGCCCGGGCGGAUACACACCGCCACCUGCAAUAUUCCGCCGUGCUCCGUAGGUUCCGUCUGUGUGCACGGAGGAUCUCGUGCAUUGGCUCACCUCGCCGCGCUGCGGCACUGGUCAACUG